RNAcentral lists this ribosomal RNA (1121 nucleotides) under Escherichia coli. Its description in RNAcentral is "partial 23S ribosomal RNA". It matches the Rfam family "Bacterial large subunit ribosomal RNA", at positions 612 to 1735 of the family's 2925-position model. The record is from RNAcentral. Lineage: Bacteria; Pseudomonadati; Pseudomonadota; Gammaproteobacteria; Enterobacterales; Enterobacteriaceae.
AUAAUGGGUCAGCGACUUAUAUUCUGUAGCAAGGUUAACCGAAUAGGGGAGCCGAAGGGAAACCGAGUCUUAACUGGGCGUUAAGUUGCAGGGUAUAGACCCGAAACCCGGUGAUCUAGCCAUGGGCAGGUUGAAGGUUGGGUAACACUAACUGGAGGACCGAACCGACUAAUGUUGAAAAAUUAGCGGAUGACUUGUGGCUGGGGGUGAAAGGCCAAUCAAACCGGGAGAUAGCUGGUUCUCCCCGAAAGCUAUUUAGGUAGCGCCUCGUGAAUUCAUCUCCGGGGGUAGAGCACUGUUUCGGCAAGGGGGUCAUCCCGACUUACCAACCCGAUGCAAACUGCGAAUACCGGAGAAUGUUAUCACGGGAGACACACGGCGGGUGCUAACGUCCGUCGUGAAGAGGGAAACAACCCAGACCGCCAGCUAAGGUCCCAAAGUCAUGGUUAAGUGGGAAACGAUGUGGGAAGGCCCAGACAGCCAGGAUGUUGGCUUAGAAGCAGCCAUCAUUUAAAGAAAGCGUAAUAGCUCACUGGUCGAGUCGGCCUGCGCGGAAGAUGUAACGGGGCUAAACCAUGCACCGAAGCUGCGGCAGCGACGCUUAUGCGUUGUUGGGUAGGGGAGCGUUCUGUAAGCCUGUGAAGGUGUACUGUGAGGUAUGCUGGAGGUAUCAGAAGUGCGAAUGCUGACAUAAGUAACGAUAAAGCGGGUGAAAAGCCCGCUCGCCGGAAGACCAAGGGUUCCUGUCCAACGUUAAUCGGGGCAGGGUGAGUCGACCCCUAAGGCGAGGCCGAAAGGCGUAGUCGAUGGGAAACAGGUUAAUAUUCCUGUACUUGGUGUUACUGCGAAGGGGGGACGGAGAAGGCUAUGUUGGCCGGGCGACGGUUGUCCCGGUUUAAGCGUGUAGGCUGGUUUUCCAGGCAAAUCCGGAAAAUCAAGGCUGAGGCGUGAUGACGAGGCACUACGGUGCUGAAGCAACAAAUGCCCUGCUUCCAGGAAAAGCCUCUAAGCAUCAGGUAACAUCAAAUCGUACCCCAAACCGACACAGGUGGUCAGGUAGAGAAUACCAAGGCGCUUGAGAGAACUCGGGUGAAGGAACUAGGCAAAAUGGUGCCGUAACU